CCUACGGGAGGCAGCAGUGAGGAAUAUUGGUCAAUGGGCGCGAGCCUGAACCAGCCAAGUCGCGUGAGGGAGGACGGCCCUACGGGUUGUAAACCUCUUUUGCCGGGGAGCAACGGGCGUCACGUGUGGCGCCACUGAGAGUACCCGGAGAAAAAGCAUCGGCUAACUCCGUGCCAGCAGCCGCGGUAAUACGGAGGAUGCGAGCGUUAUCCGGAUUUAUUGGGUUUAAAGGGUGCGUAGGCGGAGCGUUAAGUCAGGGGUCAAAUUUCGGGGCUCAACCCCUUCCCGCCAUUGAAACUGGCGUUCUUGAGUGGAAGAGAAGUAUGCGGAAUGCGUGGUGUAGCGGUGAAUGCAUAGAUAUCACGCAGAACCCCGAUUGCGAAGGCAGCCUUCCGGCGCCCUACUGACGCUGAGGCACGAAAGUGCGGGGAUCGAACAGGAUUAGAUACCCCGGUAGUC
RNAcentral lists this ribosomal RNA (459 nucleotides) under uncultured bacterium. RNAcentral's name for it is "partial 16S ribosomal RNA". It matches the Rfam family "Bacterial small subunit ribosomal RNA", at positions 338 to 795 of the family's 1533-position model. The record is from RNAcentral.